Molecule: ribosomal RNA, 433 nt
Filed under: uncultured bacterium
Lineage: Bacteria
Description: partial 16S ribosomal RNA
Rfam family: Bacterial small subunit ribosomal RNA
Source: RNAcentral
AACGAACGCUGGCGGCAUGCCUAACACAUGCAAGUCGAACGAGACCUUCGGGUCUAGUGGCGCACGGGUGCGUAACGCGUGGGAACCUGCCCUUAGGUUCGGAAUAACUCCCCGAAAGGGGUGCUAAUACCGGAUAAUGUCUUCGGACCAAGGAUUUAUCGCCUUUGGAUGGGCCCGCGUUGGAUUAGCUAGUUGGUAGGGUAAAAGCCUACCAAGGCGACGAUCCAUAGCUGGUCUGAGAGGAUGAUCAGCCACACUGGGACUGAGACACGGCCCAGACUCCUACGGGAGGCAGCAGUGGGGAAUAUUGGACAAUGGGCGAAAGCCUGAUCUAGCAAUGCCGCGUGAGUGAUGAAGGCCUUAGGGUUGUAAAGCUCUUUUACCCGGGAUGAUAAUGACAGUACCGGGAGAAUAAGCUCCGGCUAACUCCGUG